GAAGUGGUAGUUCAGUGGUAGAAUUCUUUCCUGCCACGCGGGAGGCCCGGGUUCGAUUCCCGGCCAAUGCA
This 71-nucleotide transfer RNA is filed under the name Pelobates cultripes (western spadefoot toad). Its description in RNAcentral is "tRNA.Gly". It matches the Rfam family "tRNA". From Rfam's summary of the family: Transfer RNA (tRNA) molecules are approximately 80 nucleotides in length. Lineage: Eukaryota; Metazoa; Chordata; Amphibia; Anura; Pelobatidae. The record is from RNAcentral.